GGAUUGCCAAGAGGGGUGUAGGUCCGCUUCCAGGAUCUGAACCUGCAAACCCUGGGCCACUGAAGUGGACCAUGCGGCCUUAACCAUUAUGCCACCAGGCCAGCCCAGAGUCCUGCCAUUUUCUAGAUGGGGAAAGGUGCAGAGUAGUAAGUUGUGAUGCUGCUAAAAGUGCUAGAAUCGGGGUUCAAACCUUAGGCAACCUGUCCCCCAAACCCACCCUCCUACCAUCCCACCCUCCUGUAUCAGUGGUCUUCAGCCACGCUUAAAUAAAGAGUGGUACCAGAUGGAAUAGAGCUGACUGCACUGAUUAAAGCUGUUGAGCAUCAAAAUAUCUGGGUGGACAAGAAGAGAAGAAAUCAGGGUGGAUGUAACAAACAGCCAUAGAAGAGUGUGUCGGUGUCAUUGGUGAAACUGAGAAUGCUAUUCACUAAGCCGCACAACUUUCCUUAUCUCAAGAUUCGCAUGCUUGUUCCUCCUACAGCCGAACGCCAGGAGAGAACGUGUGUCUCCAGACCAGCGCGCGUGCUGUCUUGGGGCAGCUCCACACCCCCGUGGAUGUCAGGAAUUUGGAAAUGAAAUGAACUAUGAUGUUCACUGGCAUGAGCCCAGGCUCUGGGUAAAAUGAGCCUUCCCCUUUUCCUGUUGGUUGCUUUCUUGUUAAAAACAAGAGGUUUCUUAACAUUUUUUUUUUCAAAUUGUUUUAUAGGUUAAUUCUGAUUUUGAAAUAAGUGCAUCUUGAUUGUAAACAAAAAACUCAACAUUUGAUGUACCUCCUUGUAGACUUUUAUAUGUAGAUUUGGGUAUGUAUAGCGUGUAUGUGUGUGAGGUUUUGGAAACAAAAGUUUAGGAAAGUGAGAAUCAUGACAUACUCUUUUGAAACCCACCUUUUUUUUCUCUUAGCCUACCAUAGAUAUUUUAAUAUGUUAAUAAUAACAACAGUAACAAUAGCUUCAUUCAUUCAACAAAAUAUUUGUGAUAUCCAUAAAUAUUUUCUAGGCACUUUCUCUUGGCACUGAGACUAUAGAAAUGGACAAAAUAGACAAGGUCUCCCCCUCACUAGAGCUAUCAGGCCAUAAACUACUAAAUAUAAAAAUAAAUUAAAAUGUUCAUUUCAAAUAGUGCUGUGAAAAAACCAAUGCAACAUGUUGGGGGCAACAUUUGGAAGGGUGGUCAUAAAAGCCUUCUUUGAGGGGGUGACAAUUUGAGCUGAGGCCUGAGUGAUGAGAAUGAACCAGGCUUGGACUAGAUCUAGGCAGAGGAAACAGCACAUGCAAAGGUCCUGAGGUGAGAACAGAGUUUGAUCUGUUUCAGGAACAGCAAGAAGGCUAGCAGGCUGGAGCUGAGUGAGAGAUCAAGGUGCAACUGGAGAGACAGGCGGGAGCCACAUCUUACCAA
RNAcentral lists this long non-coding RNA (1395 nucleotides) under Equus caballus (horse). RNAcentral's name for it is "lncRNA (ENSECAG00000055234.1)". Lineage: Eukaryota; Metazoa; Chordata; Mammalia; Perissodactyla; Equidae. The record is from RNAcentral.